UUGUUGUGAAAAAUUAGUUUGGUUCGGUUUCAAAUUUUUAUUGUGAAAGGGGAGUCGGCCACGCGCUGGAACGGAAGCGCGCGCUCGCAAGUAGUUCACCCCGUGGUCACGAGCGAGCGCUGACACAGCGGUGAGGAGGAGGACAUGUCAACCAGGUGGUACCGAGACCCGAGCGGGGAUCGGAACCGAAGAGAGGAGCCCAUGGACGGGCAGGCGGGGCGGCGCAGACAGAGCGGCACCGGAAACCGAACCUCCACGGCUCGAUCUUUCUCCAAAGAUUCACUGAAGAGGAGUCUGUCGGGAUGCGAGGAUAAUUUUCCAACAGGUGAUCAUUCAUGUUUGUGCUGGGAAGAACGUGCGUGAAGAUAAAAAAAAAAAAAAUGUCCAUUGAUGUUUGUUUGUGUAGGAUCUCUGGUCCUGAAGCUGUGGAACAAAACUUAUCCUCCAACAUUAUUUUAACCGAUCUUUAGUUUCAAAGUUUGACCAAACAUCUCCUCUUUCUGGUGGAG
Molecule: long non-coding RNA, 509 nt
Filed under: Oryzias javanicus (javanese ricefish)
Lineage: Eukaryota; Metazoa; Chordata; Actinopteri; Beloniformes; Adrianichthyidae
Description: lncRNA (ENSOJAG00000005886.1)
Source: RNAcentral